UACAGAGGGGGCAAGCGUUGUUCGGAAUUACUGGGCGUAAAGGGCGCGUAGGCGGCCUGCUAAGUCGAACGUGAAAUCCCCGGGCUCAACCCGGGAACUGCGUCCGAUACUGGCAGGCUUGAAUCCGGGAGAGGGAUGUGGAAUUCCAGGUGUAGCGGUGAAAUGCGUAGAUAUCUGGAGGAACACCGGUGGCGAAGGCGGCAUCCUGGACCGGUAUUGACGCUGAGGAGCGAAAGCGUGGGGAGCAAACAGG
Molecule: ribosomal RNA, 253 nt
Filed under: uncultured bacterium
Lineage: Bacteria
Description: partial 16S ribosomal RNA
Rfam family: Bacterial small subunit ribosomal RNA
Source: RNAcentral